This 600-nucleotide ribosomal RNA is filed under the name uncultured bacterium. RNAcentral's name for it is "bacterial SSU rRNA". It matches the Rfam family "Bacterial small subunit ribosomal RNA", at positions 33 to 620 of the family's 1533-position model. The record is from RNAcentral.
ACACUGGCGGCGUGCCUACACAUUGCAGUUCGAACGAAGCCGUGGCGGAUGGAUUUUUUCCGGAAGUAGGAAAGCCCUGCCAUGAACUGAGUGGCGGAACGGGUGAAGUAACGCGUGGGCAACCUGCCCUGCACAGGGGGACAACAGCCGGAAACGGCUUGCUAAUACCGCAUAAGCGCACAGCUUCGCAUGGAGCGGUGUGAAAAGCUGCGGCGGUGCAGGAUGGGCCCGCGUCUGAUUAGCUGGUUGGCGGGGCAACGGCCCACCAAGGCGACGAUCAGUAGCCGGCCUGAGAGGGUGGACGGCCACAUUGGGACUGAGACACGGCCCAGACUCCUACGGGAGGCAGCAGUGGGGAAUAUUGCACAAUGGGGGAAACCCUGAUGCAGCGACGCCGCGUGAGCGAAGAAGUAUUUCGGUAUGUAAAGCUCUAUCAGCAGGGAAGAAAUUGACGGUACCUGAGUAAGAAGCUCCGGCUAAAUACGUGCCAGCAGCCGCGGUAAUACGUAUGGAGCAAGCGUUAUCCGGAUUUACUGGGUGUAAAGGGAGCGUANGCGGCCUGCCAAGUCUGAUGUGAAAUACCGGGGCUCAACCCCGGGG